Molecule: ribosomal RNA, 485 nt
Filed under: uncultured bacterium
Lineage: Bacteria
Description: partial 16S ribosomal RNA
Rfam family: Bacterial small subunit ribosomal RNA
Source: RNAcentral
UUGAACGCUGGCGGCAUGCCUUACACAUGCAAGUCGAACGGCAGCACGGGUGCUUGCACCUGGUGGCGAGUGGCGAACGGGUGAGUAAUACAUCGGAACAUGUCCUGUAGUGGGGGAUAGCCCGGCGAAAGCCGGAUUAAUACCGCAUACGAUCUACGGAUGAAAGCGGGGGACCUUCGGGCCUCGCGCUAUAGGGUUGGCCGAUGGCUGAUUAGCUAGUUGGUGGGGUAAAGGCCUACCAAGGCGACGAUCAGUAGCUGGUCUGAGAGGACGACCAGCCACACUGGGACUGGGACACGGCCCAGACUCCUACGGGAGGCAGCAGUGGGGAAUUUUGGACAAUGGGCGAAAGCCUGAUCCAGCAAUGCCGCGUGUGUGAAGAAGGCCUUCGGGUUGUAAAGCACUUUUGUCCGGAAAGAAAUCCUUGGCCCUAAUACGGUCGGGGGAUGACGGUACCGGAAGAAUAAGCACCGGCUAACUACGUG